GAUGAAGAACGUAGCGAAAUGCGAUAAGUAAUGUGAAUUGCAGAAUUCAGUGAAUCAUCGAAUCUUUGAACGCACAUUGCGCCCCCUGGUAUUCCGGGGGGCAUGCCUGUUCGAGCGUCAUUUCAACCCUCAAGCUCUGCUUGGUAUUGAGUCCAUGUCAGCAAUGGCAGGCUCCAAAAUCAGUGGCGGCGCCGCUGGGUCCUGAACGUAGUAAUAUCUCUCGUUACAGGUGCUCGGCGUGCUUCUGCCAAAACCCCAAUUUUUCUAUGGUUGACCUCGGAUCAGGUAGGGAUACCCGCUGAACUUAAGCAUAUCAAUAGCGGAGGA
This 327-nucleotide unclassified non-coding RNA is filed under the name soil metagenome. RNAcentral's name for it is "partial contains 5.8S ribosomal RNA, internal transcribed spacer 2, and large subunit ribosomal RNA". The stretch from base 1 to 120 matches the Rfam family "5.8S ribosomal RNA", at positions 35 to 154 of the family's 154-position model. The record is from RNAcentral.